UUGUGAGGUUAAGCGACUAAGCGUACACGGUGGAUGCCCUGGCAGUCAGAGGCGAUGAAGGACGUGCUAAUCUGCGAUAAGCGUCGGUGAGGUGAUAUGAACCGUUAUAACCGGCGAUUUCCGAAUGGGGAAACCCAGUGUGUUUCGACACACUAUCAUUAACUGAAUCCAUAGGUUAAUGAGGCGAACCGGGGGAACUGAAACAUCUAAGUACCCCGAGGAAAAGAAAUCAACCGAGAUUCCCCCAGUAGCGGCGAGCGAACGGGGAGGAGCCCAGAGCCUGAAUCAGUGUGUGUGUUAGUGGAAGCGUCUGGAAAGGCGCGCGAUACAGGGUGACAGCCCCGUACACAAAAAUGCACAUAUUGUGAGCUCGAUGAGUAGGGCGGGACACGUGGUAUCCUGUCUGAAUAUGGGGGGACCAUCCUCCAAGGCUAAAUACUCCUGACUGACCGAUAGUGAACCAGUACCGUGAGGGAAAGGCGAAAAGAACCCCGGCGAGGGGAGUGAAAAAGAACCUGAAACCGUGUACGUACAAGCAGUGGGAGCCUCUUAAUGGGGUGACUGCGUACCUUUUGUAUAAUGGGUCAGCGACUUAUAUUCUGUAGCAAGGUUAACCGAAUAGGGGAGCCGAAGGGAAACCGAGUCUUAACUGGGCGUUAAGUUGCAGGGUAUAGACCCGAAACCCGGUGAUCUAGCCAUGGGCAGGUUGAAGGUUGGGUAACACUAACUGGAGGACCGAACCGACUAAUGUUGAAAAAUUAGCGGAUGACUUGUGGCUGGGGGUGAAAGGCCAAUCAAACCGGGAGAUAGCUGGUUCUCCCCGAAAGCUAUUUAGGUAGCGCCUCGUGAAUUCAUCUCCGGGGGUAGAGCACUGUUUCGGCAAGGGGGUCAUCCCGACUUACCAACCCGAUGCAAACUGCGAAUACCGGAGAAUGUUAUCACGGGAGACACACGGCGGGUGCUAACGUCCGUCGUGAAGAGGGAAACAACCCAGACCGCCAGCUAAGGUCCCAAAGUCAUGGUUAAGUGGGAAACGAUGUGGGAAGGCCCAGACAGCCAGGAUGUUGGCUUAGAAGCAGCCAUCAUUUAAAGAAAGCGUAAUAGCUCACUGGUCGAGUCGGCCUGCGCGGAAGAUGUAACGGGGCUAAACCAUGCACCGAAGCUGCGGCAGCGACGCUUAUGCGUUGUUGGGUAGGGGAGCGUUCUGUAAGCCUGUGAAGGUGUGCUGUGAGGCAUGCUGGAGGUAUCAGAAGUGCGAAUGCUGACAUAAGUAACGAUAAAGCGG
RNAcentral lists this ribosomal RNA (1285 nucleotides) under Escherichia coli. Its description in RNAcentral is "partial 23S ribosomal RNA". It matches the Rfam family "Bacterial large subunit ribosomal RNA", at positions 1 to 1320 of the family's 2925-position model. Lineage: Bacteria; Pseudomonadati; Pseudomonadota; Gammaproteobacteria; Enterobacterales; Enterobacteriaceae. The record is from RNAcentral.